GAACGCGAAGAACCUUACCAAGUCUUGACAUCCUUUGACCACUCUAGAGAUAGAGCCUUCCCUUCGGGGACAAAGUGACAGGUGGUGCAUGGUUGUCGUCAGCUCGUGUCGUGAGAUGUUGGGUUAAGUCCCGCAACGAGCGCAACCCUUAUUACUAGUUGCCAGCAUUCGGUUGGGCACUCUAGUGAGACUGCCGGUGACAAACCGGAGGAAGGUGGGGAUGACGUCAAAUCAUCAUGCCCCUUAUGACUUGGGCUACACACGUGCUACAAUGGAUGGUACAACGAGCAGCGAACUCGCGAGCUUAAGCAAAUCUCAAAAAUAACGUCUCAGUUCGGAUUGCAGGCUGCAACUCGCCUGCAUGAAGCCGGAAUCGCUAGUAAUCGCAGAUCAGCAUGCUGCGGUGAAUACGUUCCCGGGUCUUGUACACACC
RNAcentral lists this ribosomal RNA (433 nucleotides) under uncultured bacterium. RNAcentral describes it as "bacterial SSU rRNA". It matches the Rfam family "Bacterial small subunit ribosomal RNA", at positions 957 to 1391 of the family's 1533-position model. The record is from RNAcentral.